CUCUUACCCGUUUGAGCUCUGAAUCUAUUUUCCAGCUGUGAAGAACUUAGCAGUGUGAGUGCAAGUAUAAUAUGUAAAAACAUGCAACAGAAUUGUUGUUAUGCUUGGGAAUUAAUAAAUGUCAGCAUUGAAGGUAAUUGAAGGAUAAACCAGGCUUGCUUAAUUUCCGGGAGUAUUCCUAUCAAAUUCAGUGGGACAGGCUGUCAGGAAGAUGCUCUCCAGAAGGACUUUUCUUCUUCUAAUUUUAUUGCCACUCCUCUUUUGAAGGUGAAUUUUAUCAUUGGCUUCAGGAUCAAGUGACCUCUGAAGAGAAGAACCUCAGUGAGAGCAAAAUUGAACAAGAUAAAAGGACUAUGGGGAAGACUGUGUUGAGGUCACAUACCACAGCUGCAUGGCGUUGAAGUCUAGACAAGAGCUUCCAUGAGCAAAAUGGCUUUGACUAUGCAUGAGGACAUACAUGUAGACCAAGCUCUUGAUGUUACAGCAAAAAUUACGUGCAUUUGAUGCAUCACUCCUUACGUGAAUCAACCUUCAGUGCUAUUAAACUGCUUCCGUAGAAUUUCUUGAGUGCUUGAGCCCUGUAAGGUUUUAUUCUCUCUGUUCCAACAGCUUGCGUGUUUUCAUUUUUUAAACAAAUAACUUCCCUAUCCCUCCACUCCCUUCAGUCCUGAAGAACGCACUGACAACUUUAAAAAUGCUGUAAACAUGGGGACAGUAAAUGGCAUUUUUGUUAUAAUCUUGUCUUUGGAAAGAAAGAUCUGAAUGAAGAGGUGACGAUCAGAAGCAGCUGGAAAAUAUGUCUCCAAAGAAAUUAAUGGAAAAUAGAGCACUU
RNAcentral lists this long non-coding RNA (832 nucleotides) under Anser brachyrhynchus (Pink-footed goose). RNAcentral describes it as "lncRNA (ENSABRG00000009032.1)". Lineage: Eukaryota; Metazoa; Chordata; Aves; Anseriformes; Anatidae. The record is from RNAcentral.